AACGAACGCUGGCGGCAGGCUUAACACAUGCAAGUCGAACGGUCUCUUCGGAGGCAGUGGCAGACGGGUGAGUAAUGCAUGGGAAUCUACCGUUCUCUACGGAAUAACUCAGGGAAACUUGUGCUAAUACCGUAUACGCCCUUUUGGGGAAAGAUUUAUCGGAGAAUGAUGAGCCCAUGUUGGAUUAGCUAGUUGGUAGGGUAAAGGCCUACCAAGGCGACGAUCCAUAGCUGGUCUGAGAGGAUGAUCAGCCACACUGGGACUGAGACACGGCCCAGACUCCUACGGGAGGCAGCAGUGGGGAAUAUUGGACAAUGGGCGCAAGCCUGAUCCAGCCAUGCCGCGUGAGUGAUGAAGGCCCUAGGGUUGUAAAGCUCUUUCACCGGUGAAG
Molecule: ribosomal RNA, 391 nt
Filed under: uncultured bacterium
Lineage: Bacteria
Description: bacterial SSU rRNA
Rfam family: Bacterial small subunit ribosomal RNA
Source: RNAcentral